AGUGAACGCUGGCGGUAGGCCUAACACAUGCAAGUCGAACGGCAGCACAGUAAGAGCUUGCUCUUACGGGUGGCGAGUGGCGGACGGGUGAGGAAUACAUCGGAAUCUACUUUUUCGUGGGGGAUAACGUAGGGAAACUUACGCUAAUACCGCAUACGACCUACGGGUGAAAGCAGGGGAUCUUCGGACCUUGCGCGAUUGAAUGAGCCGAUUUCGGAUUAGCUAGUUGGCGGGGUAAAGGCCCACCAAGGCGACGAUCCGUAGCUGGUCUGAGAGGAUGAUCAGCCACACUGGAACUGAGACACGGUCCAGACUCCUACGGGAGGAAGCAGUGGGGAAUAUUAGACAAUGGGCGCAAGCCUGAUCCAGCAAUACCGCGUGGGUGAAGAAGGCCUUCGGGUUGUAAAGCCCUUUUGUUGGGAAAGAAAAGCAGCAGGUUAAUACCCCGCUGUUCUGACGGUACCCAAAGAAUAAGCACCGGCUAACUUCGUG
This 492-nucleotide ribosomal RNA is filed under the name uncultured bacterium. Its description in RNAcentral is "partial 16S ribosomal RNA". It matches the Rfam family "Bacterial small subunit ribosomal RNA", at positions 29 to 507 of the family's 1533-position model. The record is from RNAcentral.